This is a non-coding RNA of Cajanus cajan (pigeon pea), 988 nucleotides long. The record is from RefSeq and is a predicted model, not a curated record. Lineage: Eukaryota; Viridiplantae; Streptophyta; Magnoliopsida; Fabales; Fabaceae.
UAUACGAGCAAAGAAGGCUUGAGACUUUGAGCUCUCAUAAUUUCCAUUUAACAACUCCAAACUAAUCUUAUUAUUCAUUUUAUUCCUAUAAUGAGUUUUCCAAUGUUGUUCACUAUUUUAUUGGAUAAGUUUUCAGCCAGUAACAAGGACACAGUGCAAAUCAAAUGUCAAAUGGAAUGGGGAUUUUAUUUUCUGUAUUAAACCUGGUAUUAGCGUUGCCUGCGAUAUAUUCACAAAUAUUUUAUGCCAACUAGUUUGAACUGCUCUACUGUUUUAUAUUUUUGAGACAUUAGCACUAACAUGCUUGAUAUGUUGGCAUUUACUUUUUUGGCCUAGUUAGUUUGAACUGCUCCCUUUUUAGUUACAUGUGCCUUCUAAUGACAUUUUUGGCAUAUUCCUAAUGUAAAUCUAGAAAGCCUGGAGGUGUGUUCUACUGAAACAUUACUUGAAAAAUAAUAAAGUUCCUUAUGACUUGAGCUUAUAAUUAUACUGAUUUCUCUUUUAUUAGAACUUUCUAGCCUUUCACUUUCAUCCUAGAUAUCAUCAUUGGCAUAUUAAUUUGACUCUGCAUAUUAUGCCUUCUACAAAAUGCAGGAAAUGGCUAAGAUCAUACAAGGAAUCAAGAUAUUCUUUCUCAUCUAUUGAGGACCUGGGAAGUGUGGCUAGUCUAAUUAAUGAUAGAAGUUUAUCAUUCUUAUCGGAGGAAUCUAAAUCCUUUGAAUCGUGUCUAUCUUAUGGCAUAUAUGAGAUCCCAUGUGAUUGAUAUGUCUUUUCACAUUGUAUCCAUGGCAUAAAGGUUGAGUUGGGCUUGGAUAUCAUCGAUACACUUUUUGCAAGUUUUAAUUGAGUUUAGUUUUACUUGGUAUGAAUUUGAAAUAAACAUUUGUGUGUCACUGUGAAUGAUAUCACACUUGUGGUAUGAAUUUGGAAUAAACACUUGUAUGAAUUCAUCUUUUUAUAUUUAUCUAUUUAGUUGAUGCUUUUUCUA